UACAGAGGUCCCAAGCGUUGUUCGGAUUCACUGGGCGUAAAGGGUGCGUAGGCGGUUGGGUAAGUCUGUCGUGAAAUCUCCGAGCCUAACUCGGAAACUGCGUCGGAUACUAUUCAACUCGAGGAAUGGAGGGGAGACUGGAAUUCUCGGUGUAGCAGUGAAAUGCGUAGAUAUCGAGAGGAGCACCAGUGGCGAAGGCGAGUCUCUGGACAUUUCCUGACGCUGAGGCACGAAAGCCAGGGGAGCAAACGGG
RNAcentral lists this ribosomal RNA (253 nucleotides) under uncultured bacterium. Its description in RNAcentral is "partial 16S ribosomal RNA". It matches the Rfam family "Bacterial small subunit ribosomal RNA", at positions 524 to 776 of the family's 1533-position model. The record is from RNAcentral.